Molecule: transfer RNA, 67 nt
Filed under: Lactiplantibacillus plantarum
Lineage: Bacteria; Bacillati; Bacillota; Bacilli; Lactobacillales; Lactobacillaceae
Description: tRNA-Ala
Rfam family: tRNA
About the family: Transfer RNA (tRNA) molecules are approximately 80 nucleotides in length.
Source: RNAcentral
GGGGAAUUAGCUCAGCUGAGCACCUGCUUUGCAAGCAGGGGUCAGCAGUUCGAUCCGCUAUUCUCCA